This 763-nucleotide ribosomal RNA is filed under the name uncultured Streptococcus sp. RNAcentral describes it as "bacterial SSU rRNA". It matches the Rfam family "Bacterial small subunit ribosomal RNA", at positions 28 to 776 of the family's 1533-position model. The record is from RNAcentral. Lineage: Bacteria; Bacillati; Bacillota; Bacilli; Lactobacillales; Streptococcaceae.
GACGAACGCUGGCGGCGUGCCUAAUACAUGCAAGUAGAACGCUGAAGGAGGAGCUUGCUUCUCCGGAUGAGUUGCGAACGGGUGAGUAACGCGUAGGUAACCUGCCUGGUAGCGGGGGAUAACUAUUGGAAACGAUAGCUAAUACCGCAUAACAGUAGAUAUUGCAUGAUAUCUGCUUGAAAGGUGCAAAUGCAUCACUACCAGAUGGACCUGCGUUGUAUUAGCUAGUUGGUGAGGUAACGGCUCACCAAGGCGACGAUACAUAGCCGACCUGAGAGGGUGAUCGGCCACACUGGGACUGAGACACGGCCCAGACUCCUACGGGAGGCAGCAGUAGGGAAUCUUCGGCAAUGGACGGAAGUCUGACCGAGCAACGCCGCGUGAGUGAAGAAGGUUUUCGGAUCGUAAAGCUCUGUUGUAAGAGAAGAACGAGUGUGAGAGUGGAAAGUUCACACUGUGACGGUAUCUUACCAGAAAGGGACGGCUAACUACGUGCCAGCAGCCGCGGUAAUACGUAGGUCCCGAGCGUUGUCCGGAUUUAUUGGGCGUAAAGCGAGCGCAGGCGGUUAGAUAAGUCUGAAGUUAAAGGCUGUGGCUUAACCAUAGUACGCUUUGGAAACUGUUUAACUUGAGUGCAAGAGGGGAGAGUGGAAUUCCAUGUGUAGCGGUGAAAUGCGUAGAUAUAUGGAGGAACACCGGUGGCGAAAGCGGCUCUCUGGCUUGUAACUGACGCUGAGGCUCGAAAGCGUGGGGAGCAAACAGG